AUGAAAUUUUUAUGGAAAGUAGUACACAUGAGUACCAAUUAUUCCUGAAAAUUUGGAGCAAAAAGAAGGUGGCCUUUUCGAGAAAAAAUUUUUUUUUGUUUUUUCGAAAAAUUGAAUUUUUGUCUUUAUUUUUCAAUAUUUUUCUCUCUACGUCCUUUUUCUUGAAAGAAUAUAAAAAAACGAAAAAAAUGAGUCCAAGACGAACAAAAAUGGUUGAAAUUUACGGAAGAUAUACGAUUUUAAAGAUGAAAAUGCAAAAAAAUCGAAUUUUUUCAUAAAAUCUUCAAAUAUUCGUAAAACGUCCAAAAAAAGUCGUAUCAAAAAAUAAAAAAAUACGUAUUUCUUUAUUUUUCAAGUAGAAUAACAUAUUUCAUUGUCAAGUCAAUUCGGAAUCUAUCAUCGGACUGCCUGCAUGAUUUGAUAUGGAUCAGGUCAAUAUUCAAUUUUUCAUCUGAAAUAAUCUUUUUCUUUUUUUAGCUCUAAAAGUAGAAGACGAUCCCGUGCUUGGGAAAAUUAUUUCACUGAAAUAUGUCAAUGACUUUGUUAAUGACAAUUAUUGCAAGAAACGACUUUUUGAGAUUCACCAUUUGAUUAAAGACGGCAAGCAGAAAAAUCAUCGAGGAAGCAACAGAGAUUGCCUGACCUAGUGAUGAAAAGGCUGCUGAAGGUUUCUGGUCGAAGGGAAUUAAGUCUCACUAAUGAAUAAUGGAUUAGAGAAUUCCUUGGAGAACAAAAAACAACUUUCGAAUCAACUGAAAUUCGAAGCAUUCAUCUGAAGGAAAAUUUGGUUUAAAGUCAGAAUCGGAAAAUAAGAAAAAUCAAUUAAUGGGAUAUGAAGAAUUAAUAAAUGCAUUAAUCUAUUAUAAAUAUGUAAUUUAAAUUUUUUGUAAUGCUUCAGGUCAGAAUUUCCCAAACGAAUCACUUUAAAUUAAAAAUUUUAAUUUUCAA
This is a long non-coding RNA of Leptopilina boulardi, 948 nucleotides long. RefSeq lists it as uncharacterized. NCBI's taxonomy places the organism in Eukaryota, Metazoa, Arthropoda, Insecta, Hymenoptera, Figitidae. The transcript has 2 exons. The record is from RefSeq and is a predicted model, not a curated record.